This 254-nucleotide ribosomal RNA is filed under the name uncultured bacterium. Its description in RNAcentral is "partial 16S ribosomal RNA". It matches the Rfam family "Bacterial small subunit ribosomal RNA", at positions 524 to 776 of the family's 1533-position model. The record is from RNAcentral.
GACGGGGGGGGCAAGCGUUGUUCGGAAUUAUUGGGCGUAAAGGGCUCGUAGGCGGAUCCGCCAGUUUGACGUGAAAUCUCCACCGCUCACCGGGGAGAGGUCGUUGAAUACUACGGAUCUGGAGUUCGGCAGAGGACCAUGGAAUUUACGGUGUAGCGGUGAAAUGCGUAGAUAUCGUAAGGAAGACCAGUGGCGAAGGCGGGUCUCUGGACAGUUCCUGACGCUGAGGCACGAAGGCCAGGGGAGCAAACGGG